Molecule: non-coding RNA, 248 nt
Filed under: Mycoplasmatota bacterium
Lineage: Bacteria; Bacillati; Mycoplasmatota
Description: Tenericutes bacterium T-box sequence
Rfam family: T-box leader
About the family: Uncharged tRNA acts as the effector for transcription antitermination of genes in the T-box leader family. T-boxes are found upstream of many aminoacyl-tRNA synthetase genes and some amino acid biosynthetic genes usually in Gram-positive bacteria.
Source: RNAcentral
UUAAAUUCGUUGAUUGAGAAGAGUAAUACCAUAAAAAUCAAUUCUCUAGCGAGCUUGUGACGGUGAAAGACAAGCAGAAAAGAUCGGUAUGAAUGGCCUCAUGAGAAGCAGGGUGAAAUAAAGUAGCCUGCGCCGGGAGUUCCCGUUAUUGAACAAGAAUAUUAAAGUCUUAAAUGAUGGCGUAUUCGAUGAAGGAGAAAUGAACAUUUCUUAAAUUUGGGUGGUACCACGAGCGAUUCGUCCCAAUG